GGUCCCAUCGUCUAGUCAGGUCAGGACACCAGGUUUUCAUCCUGGGAACAGGGGUUCGAAUCCCCUUGGGAUCA
RNAcentral lists this transfer RNA (74 nucleotides) under Phycisphaerae bacterium. RNAcentral describes it as "tRNA-Glu". It matches the Rfam family "tRNA". From Rfam's summary of the family: Transfer RNA (tRNA) molecules are approximately 80 nucleotides in length. The record is from RNAcentral. Lineage: Bacteria; Pseudomonadati; Planctomycetota; Phycisphaerae. RNAcentral also lists the same sequence under 3 other names.